GACGAACGCUGGCGGCGUGCUUAACACAUGCAAGUCGAACCGAUGGAGCCUAGCUUGCUAGGUGGAUUAGUGGCGAACGGGUGAGUAAUACGUGAGUGACCUACCUUUGACUCUGGGAUAAGCCUGGGAAACUGGGUCUAAUACCGGAUACGACCAAUCUCCGCAUGGGGUGUUGGUGGAAAGCGUUAUGGAGUGGUUUUAGAUGGGCUCACGGCCUAUCAGCUUGUUGGUGAGGUAAUGGCUUACCAAGGCGACGACGGGUAGCCGGCCUGAGAGGGUGACCGGCCACACUGGGACUGAGACACGGCCCAGACUCCUACGGGAGGCAGCAGUGGGGAAUAUUGCACAAUGGGCGCAAGCCUGAUGCAGCGACGCCGCGUGAGGGAUGACGGCCUUCGGGUUGUAAACCUCUGUUAGCAUCGAAGA
Molecule: ribosomal RNA, 426 nt
Filed under: Rothia dentocariosa
Lineage: Bacteria; Bacillati; Actinomycetota; Actinomycetes; Micrococcales; Micrococcaceae
Description: bacterial SSU rRNA
Rfam family: Bacterial small subunit ribosomal RNA
Source: RNAcentral